GACCCCAUCGUCUAGAGGCCUAGGACACCGGGUUUUCAUCCCGGCAACAGGGGUUCGAAUCCCCUUGGGGUUGCCA
This 76-nucleotide transfer RNA is filed under the name Lentisphaerota bacterium. RNAcentral describes it as "Lentisphaerae bacterium tRNA-Glu". It matches the Rfam family "tRNA". Rfam says of the family: Transfer RNA (tRNA) molecules are approximately 80 nucleotides in length. Their secondary structure includes four short double-helical elements and three loops (D, anti-codon, and T loops). Lineage: Bacteria; Pseudomonadati; Lentisphaerota. The record is from RNAcentral. RNAcentral also lists the same sequence under 2 other names.